CACGUAGGGCGCAAGCGUUGUCCGGAAUUAUUGGGCGUAAAGAGCUCGUAGGCGGUCUGUUGCGUCCGCUGUGAAAACUCGGGGCUUAACCCCGAGCCUGCAGUGGAUACGGGCAGACUAGAGGUAGGUAGGGGAGAAUGGAACUCCUGGUGUAGCGGUGGAAUGCGCAGAUAUCAGGAAGAACACCGAUGGCGAAGGCAGUUCUCUGGGCCGUAACUGACGCUGAGGAGCGAAAGCGUGGGGAGCGAACAGG
This 253-nucleotide ribosomal RNA is filed under the name uncultured bacterium. Its description in RNAcentral is "partial 16S ribosomal RNA". It matches the Rfam family "Bacterial small subunit ribosomal RNA", at positions 524 to 776 of the family's 1533-position model. The record is from RNAcentral.